Small nuclear RNA from Lepus europaeus (European hare), 192 nucleotides. RefSeq annotates it as U2 spliceosomal RNA. NCBI's taxonomy places the organism in Eukaryota, Metazoa, Chordata, Mammalia, Lagomorpha, Leporidae. The transcript has a single exon. The record is from RefSeq and is a predicted model, not a curated record.
AUCGCUUCUCGGCCUUUUGGCUAAGAUCAAGUGUAGUAUCUGUUCUUAUCAGUUUAAUAUCUGAUACAUCCUCUAUCCGAGGACAAUUAAAAAAAACUGAUUAUGUUAACUACUGGUGCUUUCUGUGACCAGCUGUUUCAGAGAAUAAGCAGAAUUUUUGGUUUAGUAACUCAUAUGUUUUCUGUCUUCCUC